RNAcentral lists this ribosomal RNA (484 nucleotides) under uncultured bacterium. RNAcentral describes it as "partial 16S ribosomal RNA". It matches the Rfam family "Bacterial small subunit ribosomal RNA", at positions 28 to 523 of the family's 1533-position model. The record is from RNAcentral.
GAUGAACGCUGGCGGCGUGCUUAACACAUGCAAGUCGAACGGUGAAGCAGGAGCUUGCUCUUGUGGAUCAGUGGCGAACGGGUGAGUAACACGUGAGCAACCUGCCCCUGACUCUGGGAUAAGCGCUGGAAACGGCGUCCAAUACUGGAUAUGUGAUGUGACCGCAUGGUCUGCAUCUGGAAAGAAUUUCGGUUGGGGAUGGGCUCGCGGCCUAUCAGCUUGUUGGUGAGGUAAUGGCUCACCAAGGCGUCGACGGGUAGCCGGCCUGAGAGGGUGACCGGACACACUGGGACUGAGACACGGCCCAGACUCCUACGGGAGGCAGCAGUGGGGAAUAUUGCACAAUGGGCGGAAGCCUGAUGCAGCAACGCCGCGUGAGGGAUGACGGCCUUCGGGUUGUGAACCUCUUUUAGCAGGGAAGAAGCGAAAGUGACGGUACCUGCAGAAAAAGCACCGGCUAACUACGUGCCAGCAGCCGCGGUAA